This 25-nucleotide microRNA is filed under the name Eptesicus fuscus (big brown bat). Its description in RNAcentral is "efu-miR-9321". The record is from miRBase by way of RNAcentral. Lineage: Eukaryota; Metazoa; Chordata; Mammalia; Chiroptera; Vespertilionidae.
UGGGCCUUGACCUCGGCGAUGAUGC